RNAcentral lists this transfer RNA (68 nucleotides) under Abaria herringbona. Its description in RNAcentral is "tRNA-Val". The record is from RNAcentral. Lineage: Eukaryota; Metazoa; Arthropoda; Insecta; Trichoptera; Xiphocentronidae.
CAAAUUAAUCUAAUUAGAUUAGGAUUUUAUUUACAAUAAAAUUAUUUUGUGCAAUUCAAAUAAUUUGA